Molecule: long non-coding RNA, 1347 nt
Organism: Drosophila ficusphila
Lineage: Eukaryota; Metazoa; Arthropoda; Insecta; Diptera; Drosophilidae
Exons: 2
Source: RefSeq, a predicted model, not a curated record
UUGAGCUUUUACGAUAAAGAACUAUUCACCCCACCCUCGCAUAGAUAAAUGUAACUUCACAGGUCCGAAGGCCUAGCUUACUCUCUACCAAUAUCAAUGCAAAUAAGCGAGAUAAGCACCAGUCACGCUUGCAAAAAUCGUACGAUUCAACCGUUGAUCAGAACUGCAGUUGAAAGCUUUUCAAGAGCGGCUUAUCUACACUUCGUUUUCAACCUUGCAUUCAAUACCUGAUCUGCGCUCUUGGUGGAAAGUUCUAUUGUUCAAUUUUUGGCUUAGGCCUAAUUAAUAAACCUCGUGUUACCCUUAUCUUAUAUAAUCUCGAUCUGUGGUGUAUUAAUAUAACCAGGAGGUUAUUAAUAAUAACUAGUGAAUUUGUGAUAGUGAGUGAAAGGGAUCCGCAUAAGAAGGCGAGGCGUCAGACGUAUAUCAGUAGAUCCCGUUGAGGGAGUCUGCUCCUACAUUAGGCCGGAUACAGUCUGAUCGCCCUACGCCUGCUCAACAAGAUUGCAUCAGUUCCAACUUGCCCAAAUUCUUGAUGAAAGUGGCCCAGAGGAAAACAUAACCUCCGGUGGCGAGAUUACGCAACCGCCACGUAGGUUGACAUUUGGACAUCGGCCGUUCAACGCAAGAUCAUUAUUAUUCAACGCGGAGUACCUACCCAUCGACACUCAGGAUCGCUUUACUACGAAGGUGCAGAAGGUGUAGCCACAUCUGGCCUAUACCCCUGGCCCUAGCACCAGCCCAGCAACAACUCGGAUCGUGCCACUGUAAGGAGCUGCCAAGACGACCAUAAGUCGGCCAACGGCUGAGGACAACGUCCAGCCCGUCCAGCGAUCUAUGUCCGGCUAUUAGGAGUCUCUAUUUUGUAUCCAUUUAAUUUGUCUUUGACAACUUGCUAAUUGGCAUGAGUGCGGUAUUUGUAUAGGUCAUUUAAAGUAGAUUUUAUUAAAUAUUUUGACCAACAGCUCAUCAACGGACAUGUGAACUUGGGCCCAACUUUACAACUCGUAUCAUGGAGCAGAAAUAAAAAGGUCGUGAGUACUAAUUAAAACGAAUAUCUAUUUUAAAACCUAUAAUUGCCGCCCUAUUGUCAUUAAAUGCAUUAUUAAAUUCAUAGCUUAAAUUCAUAAACAUAUAAAUGAAAGAUUGAUCGUUCUUACUUAAUUAAUUGUGAAAUGAAAUUUUAUUGAAUAUGAAAUGCAACUUUAAUUCUUAUGUUAGGAAAUUCUUAAAUUGUUAUAUAUAUGAAUCAAUGGAACAUAGAGUAGAUAAAUAUGAUUAUAAAUGAAAUAUAGGAUUUAAUUAAAAUAAUGAAGUUUGAAUAAAUAAUAAUAAUGGUCUGUCGAG